This 336-nucleotide unclassified non-coding RNA is filed under the name soil metagenome. RNAcentral describes it as "partial contains 5.8S ribosomal RNA, internal transcribed spacer 2, and large subunit ribosomal RNA". The stretch from base 1 to 120 matches the Rfam family "5.8S ribosomal RNA", at positions 35 to 154 of the family's 154-position model. The record is from RNAcentral.
GAUGAAGAACGUAGCGAAAUGCGAUAAGUAAUGUGAAUUGCAGAAUUCAGUGAAUCAUCGAAUCUUUGAACGCACAUUGCGCCCGCCGGUAUUCCGGCGGGCAUGCCUGUUCGAGCGUCAUUUCAACCAUCAAGCCCCCGGCUUGUGUUGGGGACCUGCGGCUGCCGCAGGCCCUGAAAAGCAGUGGCGGGCUCGCUGUCACACCGAGCGUAGUAGAUUUCAUCUCGCUCAGGGCGUGCUGCGGGUUCCGGCCGUUAAACCACCUUCAUAACCCAAGGUUGACCUCGGAUCAGGUAGGAAGACCCGCUGAACUUAAGCAUAUCAAUAAGCGGAGGA